Molecule: unclassified non-coding RNA, 160 nt
Filed under: soil metagenome
Description: partial internal transcribed spacer 1
Source: RNAcentral
CAGAGUUGCAAAACUCCCAACCAUUGUGAACCGUACCUGCAACCGUUGCUUCGGCGGGUGCCGGGCUACCUCAGGCGUAGCGGCCCCGCUCGCGGGCCGGCAACUUCCAAACCCGACUCUGUUAUCAUUGGCCUCUCUGAGUAGCUUAUACAAUAAGUUC